Molecule: ribosomal RNA, 460 nt
Filed under: uncultured bacterium
Lineage: Bacteria
Description: partial 16S ribosomal RNA
Rfam family: Bacterial small subunit ribosomal RNA
Source: RNAcentral
CCUACGGGUGGCAGCAGUGAGGAAUAUUGGUCAAUGGACGCGAGCCUGAACCAGCCAAGUAGCGUGAAGGAUGACUGCCCUACGGGUUGUAAACUUCUUUUAUAAAGGAAUAAAAUGUUCCACGUGUGCGUUUUUGUAUGUACUUUAUGAAUAAGGAUCGGCUAACUCCGUGCCAGCAGCCGCGGUAAUACGGAGGAUCCGAGCGUUAUCCGGAUUUAUUGAGUUUAAAGGGAGCGUAGAUGGGUUGUUAAGUCAGUUGUGAAAGUUUGCGGCUCAACCGUAAAAUUGCAAUUGAGACUGGCAGCCUUGAGUACAGUAGAGGUGGGCGGAAUUCGUGGUGUAGCGGUGAAAUGCUUAGAUAUCACGAAGAACUCCGAUUGCGAAGGCAGCCUACUAGACUGCCACUGACACUGAGGCUCGAAAGUGUGGGUAUCAAACAGGAUUAGAUACCCUAGUAGUC